This 70-nucleotide transfer RNA is filed under the name Dipodomys ordii (Ord's kangaroo rat). It matches the Rfam family "tRNA". From Rfam's summary of the family: Transfer RNA (tRNA) molecules are approximately 80 nucleotides in length. Their secondary structure includes four short double-helical elements and three loops (D, anti-codon, and T loops). The record is from Rfam by way of RNAcentral. Lineage: Eukaryota; Metazoa; Chordata; Mammalia; Rodentia; Heteromyidae.
GGGAGUGUGGCUCAGUGGUAGAGUGCUUGCCUAGCAUGCAUGAAGCCCUGGGUUCAAUUCCUCAGUACCA